RNAcentral lists this ribosomal RNA (447 nucleotides) under uncultured bacterium. RNAcentral's name for it is "bacterial SSU rRNA". It matches the Rfam family "Bacterial small subunit ribosomal RNA", at positions 331 to 795 of the family's 1533-position model. The record is from RNAcentral.
CCAGACUCCUACGGGAGGCAGCAGUGGGGAAUAUUGCACAAUGGGGGAAACCCUGAUGCAGCAACGCCGCGUGAGUGAAGAAGUAUUUCGGUAUGUAAAGCUCUAUCAGCAGGGAAGAAGAUGACGGUACCUGAAUAAGAAGCCCCGGCUAACUACGUGCCAGCAGCCGCGGUAAUACGUAGGGGGCAAGCGUUAUCCGGAUUUACUGGGUGUAAAGGGAGCGCAGACGGCAGUGCAAGUCUGGAGUGAAAGCCCGGGGCCCAACCCCGGGACUGCCCUUGGAACUGCAUGGCUGGAGUGCGGGAGGGGCAGGCGGAAUUCCUGGUGUAGCGGUGAAAUGCGUAGAUAUCAGGAGGAACACCGGCGGCGAAGGCGGCCUGCUGGACCGCGACUGACGUUGAGGCUCGAAAGCGUGGGGAGCGAACAGGAUUAGAUACCCCCGUAGAC